Molecule: ribosomal RNA, 255 nt
Filed under: Enterobacter hormaechei
Lineage: Bacteria; Pseudomonadati; Pseudomonadota; Gammaproteobacteria; Enterobacterales; Enterobacteriaceae
Also listed under: 1 other name
Description: partial 23S ribosomal RNA
Rfam family: Bacterial large subunit ribosomal RNA
Source: RNAcentral
GCAGUGUACCCGCGGCAAGACGGAAAGACCCCGUGAACCUUUACUAUAGCUUGACACUGAACACUGGUCCUUGAUGUGUAGGAUAGGUGGGAGGCUUUGAAGCGUGGACGCCAGUCUGCGUGGAGCCGUCCUUGAAAUACCACCCUUUAAUGGCUGGUGUUCUAACGUAGACCCGUGAUCCGGGUUGCGGACAGUGUCUGGUGGGUAGUUUGACUGGGGCGGUCUCCUCCCAAAGAGUAACGGAGGAGCACGAAG